CGGGGUGUAGCCUAGUGGCUAAGGCGUCUGCUUUGGGAGCAGAAGAUCGCUGGUUCGAGUCCAGUCACCCCGA
This is a transfer RNA of Salinispira pacifica, 73 nucleotides long. It matches the Rfam family "tRNA". Rfam says of the family: Transfer RNA (tRNA) molecules are approximately 80 nucleotides in length. The record is from Rfam. Lineage: Bacteria; Pseudomonadati; Spirochaetota; Spirochaetia; Spirochaetales; Spirochaetaceae.